This is a long non-coding RNA of Dreissena polymorpha, 1704 nucleotides long. RefSeq lists it as uncharacterized. The transcript has 3 exons. The record is from RefSeq and is a predicted model, not a curated record. NCBI's taxonomy places the organism in Eukaryota, Metazoa, Mollusca, Bivalvia, Myida, Dreissenidae.
UUGUUGUGCCGGUGCCCGGUCUACAAAAUGCGCACAUACCUCGUGAUUGGGAACCAGCGACAAAUCGGUAUAGUGCAUGCUGGGCAGCACGAGUUUGUACGGUCUCUUGUGCACGGGUGAUUGAUGCGAGUGGACGUCUUUUCCCAAGUUGAGUAUUGCUUGGAGUAAUUGUGAGCCUGAGUGAGUAAUUGUGAGCCUGAGUAUAGACUAUAUUGUAUUAUAUUGUACUAUAUUGUAUUUUAUGUGUGUUCAACACGUAUUUACCUGGAAGGCCAUUCCCAGAAGAUAUAAGUGAGUCUGUGACUGUGCAUGUGAGUCUGUGAGUUGCCUGUGAUUGUGUCAAUGACACGCAUUUCCCUGGAGGUGUAUUUCCAGAAGUAUAUGUGUAUGUAAGCCGGUGACUGUGUGUUUAAGUACGUAUUUGCCUGGAGGUGUAUUCCCAGAAGUACAUGUAUAGUGCCAUUUUGUGACGUGCAACCGACGAGUAUAGCCGACGAGUUCCCUCGAAGACGACGAGGACGAUUGGUGCCAUCCUGACGAGCAUUCCAGUUGAUGCCCAUGCGCUGCGCCAAAAGAGAGGUCGGACGAAAGCUAUACCUGACUUAGGGGAGUUGGGUCAAGGUGCUUACGCAAGGGGCACUAUUACUUCAUCGGUAGCGCCGGUACGAUUCCUUCGCUGUGUGGCGUCGUCCCAAAAGGACAAAAGUGGGAGGAGUGUUGUGCCGGUGCCCGGUCUACAAAAUGCGCACAUACCUCGUGAUUGGGAACCAGCGACAAAUCGGUAUAGUGCAUGCUGGGCAGCACGAGUUUGUACGGUCUCUUGUGCACGGGUGAUUGAUGCGAGUGGACGUCUUUUCCCAAGUUGAGUAUUGCUUGGAGUAAUUGUGAGCCUGAGUGAGUAAUUGUGAGCCUGAGUAUAGACUAUAUUGUAUUAUAUUGUACUAUAUUGUAUUUUAUGUGUGUUCAACACGUAUUUACCUGGAAGGCCAUUCCCAGAAGAUAUAAGUGAGUCUGUGACUGUGCAUGUGAGUCUGUGAGUUGCCUGUGAUUGUGUCAAUGACACGCAUUUCCCUGGAGGUGUAUUUCCAGAAGUAUAUGUGUAUGUAAGCCGGUGACUGUGUGUUUAAGUACGUAUUUGCCUGGAGGUGUAUUCCCAGAAGUACAUGUAUAGUGCCAUUUUGUGACGUGCAACCGACGAGUAUAGCCGACGAGUUCCCUCGAAGACGACGAGGACGAUUGGUGCCAUCCUGACGAGCAUUCCAGUUGAUGCCCAUAGUCUGCCAACCAAGGUCCUGCUGCAUGGAGGUGACACUGUCGUACGGGGAAUAGUUAUGCUUGACCCAGCGGACUGCUCGACGCUGUACAUUUCAUAUAUUAAUAUUACGUGGACUGAGGGAUCAAAUGGGUUGGUCAUGAACUGAUCAAGUAAUUGGUAAUAAAGAAUUACAAGAAAGUGAAUGCUUUUCAUUCAGAAUUUCAGUCCAGCACAAAUGAACUUUACGCUGCACAGACACGGUCAUGCAUCUGUUUCUACAUGGGUUCCGAUUGAGCGUUAUAAGUGAUUUUGUCCAAUAAAAAUAAUUAAAAAAUAAUGAGAACUACUUCAAACCAUAGUAUUGACUAAUCCUAUAAAUGUACAAACCAAUCUAUCAAAUGUACAACAAUUUAUCCAACAUCAGGAUCGACGCUUGAUGGGUGUGUCGG